RNAcentral lists this ribosomal RNA (467 nucleotides) under uncultured bacterium. RNAcentral describes it as "partial 16S ribosomal RNA". It matches the Rfam family "Bacterial small subunit ribosomal RNA", at positions 30 to 507 of the family's 1533-position model. The record is from RNAcentral.
AGUGAACGCUGGCGGUAGGCCUAACACAUGCAAGUCGAACGGCAGCACAGUAAGAGCUUGCUCUUACGGGUGGCGAGUGGCGGACGGGUGAGGAAUACAUCGGAAUCUACUUUUUCGUGGGGGAUAACGUAGGGAAACUUACGCUAAUACCGCAUACGACCUACGGGUGAAAGCAGGGGACCUUCGGACCUUGCGCGAUUGAAUGAGCCGAUGUCGGAUUAGCUAGUUGGCGGGGUAAAGGCCCACCAAGGCGACGAUCCGUAGCUGGUCGGAGAGGAGGAGCAGGCACACGAGAACUGAAACACGGCCCAGACUGGUACGGGAGGGAGCAGGGUGGAACAUGGGAUAAUGGGCGAAAGCCUAAUCCACCAAUGCCGCGUGAGGUAUUAAGACCGUAGAGAAGGAAAGCGCGUUGACCCGGGAGGAGAAUGACGGGACCGUGAGAAUAAGCGCCGGCUAACUCCGUG